Molecule: transfer RNA, 72 nt
Filed under: Saccoglossus kowalevskii
Lineage: Eukaryota; Metazoa; Hemichordata; Enteropneusta; Harrimaniidae
Description: tRNA-Thr
Rfam family: tRNA
About the family: Transfer RNA (tRNA) molecules are approximately 80 nucleotides in length. Their secondary structure includes four short double-helical elements and three loops (D, anti-codon, and T loops).
Source: RNAcentral
GCCUCAGUGGCCAAGUGGUAAGGCGUCGGUCUCGUAAACCGAAGAUCAUGGGUUCAAACCCCAUCUGAGCCU